RNAcentral lists this ribosomal RNA (253 nucleotides) under uncultured bacterium. Its description in RNAcentral is "partial 16S ribosomal RNA". It matches the Rfam family "Bacterial small subunit ribosomal RNA", at positions 524 to 776 of the family's 1533-position model. The record is from RNAcentral.
UACGUAGGGUGCAAGCGUUAAUCGGAAUUAUUGGGCGUAAAGCGUACGUAGGCGGUCCAGCAAGUCGGGUGUGAAAGCCCUUGGCUUAACCAAGGAAGUGCAUUCGAAACUACUGGACUUGAAUACUGGAGAGGAUCGCGGAAUUCCCGGUGUAGAGGUGAAAUUCGUAGAUAUCGGGAGGAACACCAGUGGCGAAGGCGGCGAUCUGGACAGAUAUUGACGCUGAUGUACGAAAGCGUGGGGAGCAAACAGG